UUUAUUGGAGAGUUUGAUCCUGGCUCAGGAUGAACGCUGGCGGCGUGCCUAAUACAUGCAAGUCGAGCGAAUGGAUUAAGAGCUUGCUCUUAUGAAGUUAGCGGCGGACGGGUGAGUAACACGUGGGUAACCUGCCCAUAAGACUGGGAUAACUCCGGGAAACCGGGGCUAAUACCGGAUAACAUUUUGAACUGCAUGGUUCGAAAUUGAAAGGCGGCUUCGGCUGUCACUUAUGGAUGGACCCGCGUCGCAUUAGCUAGUUGG
RNAcentral lists this ribosomal RNA (264 nucleotides) under Bacillus thuringiensis serovar graciosensis. RNAcentral's name for it is "partial 16S ribosomal RNA". It matches the Rfam family "Bacterial small subunit ribosomal RNA", at positions 1 to 252 of the family's 1533-position model. Lineage: Bacteria; Bacillati; Bacillota; Bacilli; Caryophanales; Bacillaceae. The record is from RNAcentral. RNAcentral also lists the same sequence under 1 other name.